CGCACCCUUGCUCCCCUAUGCCUGUGAUCGCCAUAAUUUUCCUAUGAAAAAUUCUAGUGAUUGCCUGUUUCCUGGCAAAUCCUAAUAAUCACCAUAUGAAAAUUUCUUGCGAUUACCAUAUUUUGUGGCAAAUCCUAAUGAUCACCAUAUGAAAAAUUGUGGUAAUUAUUAUGUGUUUUGGCAAAUAAAUUUGAUUACCAUGUUAAAAUUUUUUGCGACUGCGGCCGGGAGGACUUUUUAAAAUUCCUCCUAAGACUUCUCUUACCGGGAUCAAGAUGUAAGCAGCAACACAGAAUAAUCUUAUUUAUGCUAAUAUCCUUUUAAAUUAGUCGUGCCCCUAUGUGACUAUCAGAUAAGGGUGUAUAUAGGUUGGGUUGGUUCGGAUUGUAU
This 390-nucleotide long non-coding RNA is filed under the name Nicotiana benthamiana. RNAcentral's name for it is "long non-coding RNA (NBEN_LNC007722)". The record is from RNAcentral. Lineage: Eukaryota; Viridiplantae; Streptophyta; Magnoliopsida; Solanales; Solanaceae.